CGUAGAGAAAUCGAGUCUUAAUAGGGCGUUUAGUUGCUGGGUAUAGACCCGAAACCAGGCGAUCUAUCCAUGAGCAGGUUGAAGGUUGGGUAACACUAACUGGAGGACCGAACCCACUGUCGUUGAAAAGCCAGGGGAUGACUUGUGGAUAGGGGUGAAAGGCUAAUCAAGCCUGGUGAUAGCUGGUUCUCCCCGAAAGCUAUUUAGGUAGCGCCUCGGACGAAUACCAUAGGGGGUAGAGCACUGUUUCGGCUAGGGGGUCAUCCCGACUUACCAAACCGAUGCAAACUCCGAAUACCUAUGAGUACUAUCCGGGAGACAGACUGCGGGUGCUAACGUCCGUAGUCAAGAGGAAAACAAUCCAGACCGCCAGCUAAGGCCCCAAAAUCAUAGUUAAGUGGGAAACGAUGUGGGAAGGCAUAGACAGCUAGGAGGUUGGCUUAGAAGCAGCCACCCUUUAAAGAAAGCGUAAUAGCUCACUAGUCGAGUCGGCCUGCGCGGAAGAUGUAACGGGGCUAAAACUAUGUGCCGAAGCUGCGGAUGUAUACUUUGUAUACGUGGUAGGGGAGCGUUCUGUAAGCCGAUGAAGGUGUGUUGAGAAGCAUGCUGGAGGUAUCAGAAGUGCGAAUGCUGACGUGAGUAACGACAAAACGGGUGAAAAACCCGUUCGCCGAAAGACCAAGGGUUCCAGUCCAACGUUAAUCGGGGCUGGGUGAGUCGACCCCUAAGGCGAGGCCGAAAGGCGUAGUCGAUGGGAAAAUGGUUAAUAUUCCAUUACUUCUGUGUAAUGCGAUGAGAGGACGGAGAAGGCUAAAUCAGCCUGGCGUUGGUUGUCCAGGUGAAAG
RNAcentral lists this ribosomal RNA (845 nucleotides) under Acinetobacter baumannii. RNAcentral's name for it is "partial 23S ribosomal RNA". It matches the Rfam family "Bacterial large subunit ribosomal RNA", at positions 667 to 1516 of the family's 2925-position model. The record is from RNAcentral. Lineage: Bacteria; Pseudomonadati; Pseudomonadota; Gammaproteobacteria; Moraxellales; Moraxellaceae.